AGACCCUGGUCUGCACUCUAUCUGU
RNAcentral lists this microRNA (25 nucleotides) under Eptesicus fuscus (big brown bat). Its description in RNAcentral is "efu-miR-504". Its record names the gene efu-miR-504. Lineage: Eukaryota; Metazoa; Chordata; Mammalia; Chiroptera; Vespertilionidae. The record is from miRBase by way of RNAcentral.